Molecule: ribosomal RNA, 497 nt
Filed under: uncultured bacterium
Lineage: Bacteria
Description: partial 16S ribosomal RNA
Rfam family: Bacterial small subunit ribosomal RNA
Source: RNAcentral
GAUGAACGCUGGCGGCGUGCCUAAUACAUGCAAGUCGAGCGAACAGAUGAGGAGCUUGCUCCUCUGACGUUAGCGGCGGACGGGUGAGUGACACGUGGAUAACCUACCUAUAAGACUGGGAUAACUUCGGGAAACCGGAGCUAAUACCGGAUAAUAUAUUGAACCGCAUGGUUCAAUAGUGAAAGACGGUUUUGCUGUCACUUAUAGAUGGAUCCGCGCCGCAUUAGCUAGUUGGUAAGGUAACGGCUUACCAAGGCAACGACGCGUAGCCGACCUGAGAGGGUGAUCGGCCACACUGGAACUGAGACACGGUCCAGACUCCUACGGGAGGCAGCAGUAGGGAAUCUUCCGCAAUGGGCGAAAGCCUGACGGAGCAACGCCGCGUGAGUGAUGAAGGUCUUCGGAUCGUAAAACUCUGUUAUUAGGGAAGAACAAAUGUGUAAGUAACUAUGCACGUCUUGACGGUACCUAAUCAGAAAGCCACGGCUAACUACGUG